Molecule: microRNA precursor, 90 nt
Organism: Chlorocebus sabaeus (green monkey)
Lineage: Eukaryota; Metazoa; Chordata; Mammalia; Primates; Cercopithecidae
Source: Ensembl
AUCUAUUAGAUUGCUGCAAAAGUAGUUGCACUUUUUGCCAUUACUUUUAAUUGCAAAAAUCACAAUUACUUUUGCACCAACCUAAUAGUU